GUUUGCCUACACAUGCAAGUUGCACGGCGCCAUGCCUCUCGAGGAAUGGCGGAGUGGCGGACGGGUGAGGAACGCGUAAGGACCUGCCCCUGGGAGGGGGAUAACAGCUGGAAACGGCUGCUAAUACCCCAUAUCCUGAGGAGGGAAAGGAGAGAUCCGCCCAGGGAGGGGCUUGCGUCUGAUUAGCUAGUUGGGGGGUAAUGGCCUCCCAAGGCAACGAUCAGUUGCUGGUCUGAGAGGAUGAUCAGCCACACUGGGACUGAGACACGGCCCAGACUCCUACGGGAGGCAGCAGUGAGGAAUCUUCCGCAAUGGGCGAAAGCCUGACGGGGCAAUGCCGCGUGGAGGAUGAAGGCCCAAUGGGUCGUAAACUUCUUUAGAUCAGAGACGAAGAGAUGACGGUACCUGAAGAACUAAGCAUCGGCCAAACCCCGUGCCAGCAGCCGCGGUAAGACGGGGGAUGCGAGCGUUAUCCGGAAUGAUUGGGCGUAAAGGGUCCGCAGGUGGCCCGGUCAGUCCGCUGUCAAAACCUGGGGCUCAACCCUGGACAGGCGGCGGAGACCACCGGGCUUGAGUCCGGUAGGGGCAGAGGGAAUUCCCGGUGGAGCGGUGAAAUGCGUAGAGAUCGGGAAGAACGCCAAGGGCGAAGGCACUCUGCUAGGCCUGAUUUCGCGACUGACACUCAGGGACGAGAGCCAGGGGAGCGAAUGGGAUUAGAUACCCCAGUAGUCCUGGCCGUAAACG
Molecule: ribosomal RNA, 744 nt
Filed under: uncultured eukaryote
Lineage: Eukaryota
Description: bacterial SSU rRNA
Rfam family: Bacterial small subunit ribosomal RNA
Source: RNAcentral